GACGGAGGGGGCUAGCGUUGUUCGGAAUUACUGGGCGUAAAGGGCGCGUAGGCUGUCAUGUAAGUUGGAAGUGAAAUCCCGGAGCUUAACUCCGGAACUGCUUUCAAAACUACAUAACUAGAGUGCGGUAGGGGGUGAUGGAAUUCCUAGUGUAGAGGUGAAAUUCUUAGAUAUUAGGAGGAACACCAGGGGCGAAGGCGAUCACCUGGGCCGCGACAGACGCUGAGGCGCGAAAGCGUGGGGAGCAAACAGG
RNAcentral lists this ribosomal RNA (253 nucleotides) under uncultured bacterium. RNAcentral describes it as "partial 16S ribosomal RNA". It matches the Rfam family "Bacterial small subunit ribosomal RNA", at positions 524 to 776 of the family's 1533-position model. The record is from RNAcentral.